AUGGAGGAGGAGGAGGGCGAGAGCCGCGACUGGGCCGGGAUGCAGUCAGACGCGCUCUCCACCAUAUUCGGGAAGCUGGACGCGGCCGACCUCCUCACGGGAGCCGGGCAGGUAUGCCACGCGUGGCGCCGUCUCGCCGACAGCGACACCACGCUGUGGCGUCGCGUCGAGAUGACCCACGAUGGAGACAUCCUGGAGGCCGGGGCCAUGGCCUGCGCCGCCGUCGACCGCGCCGCUGGCACCAUGGAGGCCUUCUCGGCCGACACCUUCGUCACUCAUCUCCUCCUCCGCUACAUCUCCGACAGAGCAUUCUCAUUGAAGAGCCUUCAGCUCAGCUUUUGUGAUAAAGUAUCUGAUAAAGGGUUGGCAGAGGCAAUUAAUCGCCUUCCUCAGAUUGAAGAACUGGAUAUUUCGUUCUGCUCAUUGUAUGGCAAUUUUUGCGAGUUAGUUGACAAAAGCCGCUCACAACUGAAAUGCUUUAGGCUAAAUGAACGCUGGGCUGAUUUUCAUAAGCGGUUUGAUGCAGCCUAUGAGCGCAUGGAGAUUGACCCAGAAGCAUCAUGGAUUGCUAACAGUAUGCCUCUUCUCCAAGUCCUUCAGUUGAUUGGUAGGGAAGUAACUAAUGAUGGACUGAUAGCAAUCCUUGACCAUUGCCCUCACCUUGAAUCACUUGACAUACGUAUGUGCUACAACCUCCAAAUUGAUGAUGCUAUGAAAUCAAAGUGUGCUAGAAUUAGAAACCUUAAGCUUCCUCAUGAUCACAUCUCUGAUUUCAAGUACUGGGCCUACGUUGACAGUGAGGAUUACAGUGAAGAUUACUCUGGUUCUGUUUUUGAGGUUGAUAUGCACGAUGAUUUAUUGGAUGUGGUCAUGGGUGAUGAUUCUGAUGGUGAAUUCAAUUAUGUGGAUGAUUAUGAUGAUGUUGGCUCAGAAUCUGCCAUGUAUGAUGUCGAUGACAUCUAA
Molecule: ribosomal RNA, 963 nt
Filed under: Triticum aestivum (bread wheat)
Lineage: Eukaryota; Viridiplantae; Streptophyta; Magnoliopsida; Poales; Poaceae
Description: partial small subunit ribosomal RNA
Source: RNAcentral